Molecule: long non-coding RNA, 1092 nt
Filed under: Marmota monax (woodchuck)
Lineage: Eukaryota; Metazoa; Chordata; Mammalia; Rodentia; Sciuridae
Source: RNAcentral
GGAGCAGGCAGGGGGCGCAGGUCCGCAGCGGGCGCAGCGGGUGGAGAGAGAGGGCGCUGUCUUCCUGGCAAAGGAGUCCUUGCCUAGCCAGCAGGAACCGAAACAAAAAAGAAAAUCUGCCUGGCUGAGCCCGUAGGGUGAGGAGCGCGGGCCGGAGGAAAAGGGGCUGGGGUGGCUGACUGGAUUCUCAGUCUCCAGCUGGGAGACCCCUCGGCCCAUCGCGGCCUCGCCAGUAGCCCCAGGCGGGACUGGUGGGAAGAGAGUCUUCUGUAGCCCAUUGGCAUUCCCCACAGUCAUCUUCCGUCAGGGAUAUCUCUCCCUCGCCUUUUCCCUCCAAACACUGGACGCGCCGGCGAGUGAGGUGCCUCAAUUUGCCCGAGGCGAGAGGGGGACUCUGCGCACACACACCCUUCCUCCAAGCGGAGUCUGCUUUAGGUGGUGGGACCUGAGGAAGGAAAUCGCGUCGCCAGCCAAUCCUUUGGGUCGAAGCGCUGUAGCAAGUGGUCUCACCUGGUUUGGCCCCUCCUGGCCCAGAAACAACGAAGAAAUGGAAACUUCUUUUAUGGUCACCAGUUGACCUGGGUGCAAAGCCCCAAAGACAACUACUGCCAACCAUUCUUCCACCCAAACCUACAAAACAAGAACUUUGUUUAUAUUAAUUUGAGGGAAAUUGCUAUCCUUCCAUUCCAAAAGCACUUAUUUCUCCUCUGUCAGCUACCAAAUAUAGUGUGUUCUUGUCUUUCCACGAGCACAAUAAACCAUGCAAUGCAAAAUAUAAGGAUUCCAGACUCGCUUAUCUUCUAUUUUAAAAAGUCUCUCUGGAUUAAGGGACGUUAGAUGUCCUCCUGCUUCGUGCAUAGAUACUAGAACUGAUCAUCUUCCAUGCUCUCCACCAGAGCAUCUCAAGCUCCGAUCUCCAUUUGAAUUUCCUGGGGAGUCAUGACUCUUUCCGAAUCCCCUCCAGUGGAAUCCAGGUGGCCUUGUAGUUCCGCCCUUGGCAGGAGAGCUAUUUCCUAGGAGUAACUGGGUGGGCUGCCACCCGCCUGACUCUUCACAUCGAGAAACGCUUCUCUUGUGGGAACGUCUGUUUCU